GUUAUAACUGACUUAGCAAAGUCAUGUUAUUUAUUAAUCGAAAAACAGAAGCAGUUAUAUUUUAUUAGUGCUACUAGAAGUCGAGAAAUUAUUCCGACUGCAACGCAGAUUAAAUCUACGGAUUUAAUUUAAGUUAUAUUACAGUUUAUCAAGUUAGCAGGCAAGGAAAAAGAUAUCAAGCAAGAUACAGAAAUGCGAUGAUUAAAAAUCAAAGCCAGUAUUUAUUUACAGUUCACAGAUUACAGGCUAGUUCCCAGCUUGGGGAAAAUCGUCUAAUAUAUUACAAAAGCUGUAGACUCUACGUGGCCUACUCAGCCACCAACUCCACUCAACAUAUAUCUAUGAGACCUACGUACUAGCCAAGUGCACCACUACUCUUUUUCUCACUAACUCCACUCAAAUAUUUAUUUGUUUGGCACCAAAUAAGUGGGCUGUCACCUUUUCCACCGAAAGCCAUGCAUUUCACUUAUUAAAGCACCACCAACUCUCCUCCACUUACUCUCAACUCCAGCAGAGAGCACAACAUUCUCUAUCAUUUUCCUGUCACCAAGAGGUCUCUCCAAAGAGCAGAGAAGCCCCCACUUCGUUCAGCCAAGUUCUCAAGUUCAGUUCCAACCCAUUUAAUACCUUAAGAAAUCGAAGAAGCAAGAGGGAGUAUUCAUUCACUGCUGUGCCAAACUUUAAGUUCAGCCCAAAUCAUUCCAGUUCGUUAAGCUCAACGACAAACAGCCAACCAACAUUCGUUCUCAAGGUAUAAUUCUAUUUCAGAUACCCAUUCCAGAAAGCAUUCAUAUCAAAGCAUGAUCAUGAGUAGUUUCACAAGGAGAUACGACGUAUAAGCAUUUUGAACUUAGUAAACACCCCAACUAUGCUUUCAUGAAUAAGUGACAGUUUAUAUGAAAUUUUAAACGAGCAUAAUUUGAGAUGUAAGCAAAA
Salvia miltiorrhiza (redroot sage) is the source of this 936-nucleotide long non-coding RNA. RefSeq lists it as uncharacterized. Lineage: Eukaryota; Viridiplantae; Streptophyta; Magnoliopsida; Lamiales; Lamiaceae. The record is from RefSeq and is a predicted model, not a curated record. The transcript has 2 exons.